RNAcentral lists this ribosomal RNA (913 nucleotides) under uncultured bacterium. RNAcentral's name for it is "bacterial SSU rRNA". It matches the Rfam family "Bacterial small subunit ribosomal RNA", at positions 49 to 952 of the family's 1533-position model. The record is from RNAcentral.
UUACCAUGCAGUCGAGCGGUACGGGGUUGAUAGCUUGCUAUCACUGCCGACGAGCGGCGGACGGGUGAGUAGAACGUAGGGAUCUGCCUUAUAGAGGGGGAUAACCCGGGGAAACCCGGGCUAAUACCGCAUGAGCUCUAAGGAGGAAAGCGGGUGGUAAAACACUGGCGCUAUAAGAUGAGCCUACGACGGAUUAGCUAGUUGGUGAGGUAAAGGCUUACCAAGGCGAUGAUCUGUAGCUGGUCUGAGAGGACGGACAGCCACACUGGGACUGAGACACGGCCCAGACUCCUACGGGAGGCAGCAGUGGGGAAUAUUGGACAAUGGGGGGAACCCUGAUCCAGCGAUGCCGCGUGUGUGAAGAAGGCCUGCGGGUUGUAAAGCACUUUAGUUGGGGAGGAAAGUAUGAAGGUUAAGAGCUGUUAUACUUGACGUUACCCAAAGAAUAAGCACCGGCUAACUCUGUGCCAGCAGCCGCGGUAAUACAGAGGGUGCAAGCGUUAAUCGGAAUUACUGGGCGUAAAGGGCGCGUGGGCGGUACAUCAAGCUGGAUGUGAAAUACCUGGGCUUAACCUGGGGGAGUCAUUCAUAACUGGAGUACUAGAGUAGGGGAGAGGGGAGUGGAAUUCACAGUGUAGCGGUGAAAUGCGUAGAUAUUGUGAGGAACAUCGAUGGCGAAGGCAGCUCUCUGGCCUGCUACUGACGCUGAGGCGCGAAAGCAUGGGUAGCGAACAGGAUUAGAUACCCUGGUAGUCCAUGCUGUAAACGAUGAGAACUGGAUGUUGGCACCUGCGGGUGUUAGUGUCGAACCAAACGCGUUAAGUUCUCCCCCUGGGGAGUACGGUCGCAAGAUUAAAACUCAAAGGAAUUGACGGGGGCCCCCACAAGCGGUGGAACCAUGUGGUUUUAAUUC